CGAGACUCUGUCUCAAAAAAGAAAAGCUAAGGACCAGGUGUUUUUCAGUGACUUACCCAAGGUCACAUCCUUACUCAGGAGCAGAGUUUAGGCAGUGUUCCAGGUCUUCUACUUCUAAAUCCAACAAUGUUCAGGGAGCUCUUCAUUAUCUGAUCCCUGUCUACCUACCACUUUCUAUGGUGAUACCCAGUUCCCAGCCUUGCUGUCCUUUUUCUCCUCUGGCACGUUUGUCUUCAUAUUUUGGGGCCUUUGCCUACACUUAUCCCACUUAAAAGCCUUUCCCUCACUUAACCUUCUCAAAUUCUGACCAAGAACUGAUAACUUGCAACUCAUGAUUCAAGACCUUACUGAGGAGUCUGCUCCUUUAGAGUCCAGUGUGUGUCCUUCUAAUACUCCUUGAUAUGGUUUGGCUCUGUGUCCCCAUCCAAAUCUCAUCUCGAAUUGUAAUCCCCACAUGUCUAGGGAGAGAUCCAGUGGGAGGUGAUUGGAUCAUGGGGGCAGUUUCCCCCAUGCUGUUCUCAUGAUAGUGAGUGAAUUCUCAUGAGAUCUGGUGGUUUUAUAAGGUGCUCUUCCCCCUUCACCACUCAUUCUUCUCUCUCCUGCCACCUUGUGAAAAAGGACGUCUUUGCUUCCCCUUGUGCCAUGAGUGUAAGUUUCCUGAGGCUUUCCCAGACACAUGGAACUGAGUCAAUUAAAUUCUUUUAUAAAUUACUGAGUCUUGAGUAUUUCUUUAUGGCAGUGUGAGAGCGGGCUAAUACAGUCCUUAUCACAUUUUGCUACUAUUGUGUUUGGAUUUGUCUCACCUUGUGAACCUGAGUGAGCUUCUUGAGGGACAGGUUCGGUGUUUUGCUCAUCGUUAGCACAAUACCUAGCAUGCAUGCAGCAGAUACUCAGUAAAUAAUCGUUUACAUUUAAAUGACCAUGAAAAUGGGUGAAUCUCAUUUAGUAACUUUAAAAAGGGACUAUUUGUUGUACAAAUAACCUGUUGGCUACAAACUAAACCAAUAAUAUAGCCAAGAAAGAUGUUGGCUAGAAUUGCAGCAAGUCAUACGUAUCGCUAAAAUAAAAUCCAAAGCAGCAACCUCGGAGAAGAAAGACAUCAUCUUGGAACUACUGGGCAUGCAGCAGGUAAGUGGAACAUCCUCUGUACCCUCCUUCCCUGCAGCUGUCACAGUGAGUCCAUGUUUCCUUGACUUUUAAUCAGAGCCACUAUCCAAUGUUAACAACACACAUACAAAAGCAGCAGCUAUUAAUAUAAGCAGAAGACAAGAGGGUUUUCUACUUUUCUCACUAAGGAAACCACAUUUUGAUAAUUCUCCAGGUGGUUACAAAGAACAAACUCAAGCAAGAAUGCUGGACUAAACUUAGUCCAAAAGGCUAAUUGUGGAAUGAGAUGGAAAAAAAGAACAAAGGUCAAUGGAAGAGAAUUGUUGAAGUCCUAACCCCCAACAUCUCAGAAUGUGGCUUUAUUUGAAGAGAGGAUUACCUUUGCAGAGGUAAUCAAGUUAAAAUGAGGUCAAUAUAGUGAGUCCUAAUCCAGUAUGGUUGAUGUCCUCAUGAAAAGGAGAAAUUUGAAGACAGACACACCAAAGGAGAAUGCCAUGUGGAGACACAGGGAGAAGUUGGCAAUCUACAAGCCAACGAGAAUAGCCUGGAACAAAUUCUUCCAUCACACCCCUCAGAAGGAAUCAACCCUGACUGCACCUCCAUUGCAGAGUUGUAGCCUCCAGAACUGUGAGACAAUACAUUUCUGUUGUUUAAGACGCUAAGUUUACGGAGUAAAUUUCUGCUUGUUACAGCAGCCCCAGGAAACUAUUACACUCCACCUCAGCAUUUUCCUCCAGGCAUCCCUCAACCCUGUUCUUCCAACAUUUCCCAAGAAAGAAAGAAAAAAAUAUUACUUCACAUAUGUAUAUUAUAAAUCUUGCCAUUUCAUUUGCCUUCUUUUAACAUCAGUGGGUAAUCUUACCUCACAAAGUUAGAUGUAAUAUGGAAAAACCUCUACAAUUUUCAAACCCAUAAUAAUCAAGUUCUAUAAUCACCAAAAAAGAAAAGUACAAAAGAAAACCAAUGGUGAGAACUCUUAUAAAGCAAGUACAAAGACAAAAUUGGCUAUGCACUAUCAUUAACAGAAGCUAUCACGGCUCCUUUGUAAUCUUAAGCAGCUAUUCCAUGAUCUUUUCUCUCGCAAUGAUGAACCGAACUUUUGAUAAAAUAUUUGAUCUCCUUUUAGCCAAAACUCUUCUUUAUAAGCCCAUUUAAUAUUCCAGAAGGAUUUUCUUUCGUUUGAAGAAAUAUAAGUUUGACAUUCUAAAGGCAUUUGUAUUUUAAAGCCUACAAAAAGAUUUUUGGAGAGUACCUGGUGAAGUACCGACUUGCCCCUGUGGCUCAAAAGUUCAAUUAUUAUAGACAUUUCACUCAGAACAGCAUUUCUGUCUUUUA
This 2442-nucleotide long non-coding RNA is filed under the name Homo sapiens (human). RNAcentral describes it as "non-protein coding lnc-SLC39A10-7:1". The record is from RNAcentral. Lineage: Eukaryota; Metazoa; Chordata; Mammalia; Primates; Hominidae.